UCUAUGUGGAAUUGUCUUUAUUACAGAUCUUGUUUGUAGUAGCAAAUACAAAAGAGAGAACCUUUUGGAUUGAAGUAAAGAAAUGGUUUCGUUUGAACAUCAAUUGAAAACGAGUAAGUCGAUCCUAAAUCAGAACUUAAAUAGUUUAUUAAAAGCAAAGAUUAUUGAAAUACACGAUCUUUGAACUGAUGAAAGGGAAUUAGAUUAAUAUUUCUAAACCUGGGUAAAGAAAAUUUCAAUUUUAAAUUGAGAUUUUGGAGAUAUUUUUUAUGGCAACAUUAAAUUCAUCUGCUUUGAUACAACACUUGAGAUAUUAAAAAGAGUUAUCUUUUCUUUUUAAAAGGGUAUUUUAAAUUAAUGCGGUUGGCAAUUGUGAAUUGAAUAUGCUUUUAUGCUGUUUGAUUUGUUUUUGUCGCUAAAACCUAUCGCAUUUGAAACGUGUGCGAGUCUGAAUUCAUUUCGAGAUACAUCGUUCUCUCACCCUUGAAAGAGUGGAACAAUCUAAUUUGUUUUCCAUUUAAUUUAUCUCAAUUGUUCCUUGAAACUCAAAGCGAAAGAAUUAUUUUUCCCCCAGAUCGUACAACAAUCCGCAACAGGUUCUUAAGUUUAAAAGACUCUAAUUUUUAGAAUAAAGUGGGUAAGGAAAAUCGGCAAAAUAGAUCCGUAACUUUGGGAAAAGGAUUGGCUCUAAAGACAAGAAACGCGGAUGAUGGGUGUGAGCUUGAAGAAUUUAUUUUCUUUUUGAGCGCAAACUACAUUCCAGGCGUGUCGAGGUUUCGACUUUGGCACGCCUUAAAAUUGUCAAUUUAGAACUGUUUCGGUCUCGGAGAACCCGACUGUUUAAUUAAAACAAAGCAAAGUGAUGGUCGCAAAUAUUGAUGUUGACACUUUGUGAUUUCUGCCCAGUGCUUUGAAUGUCAAUUUGAAGAAAUUCACCCAAGCGCAGGUCAACGGCGGGAGUAACUAUGACUCUCUUAAGGUAGCCAAAUGCCUCGUCAUUUAAUUGGUGACGCGCAUGAAUGGAUUAACGAGGUUCUCACUGUCCCUACUUACUAUCUAGCGAAGCAGCAGCAAAGGGAACGGACUUUGCAAAGACAGCGGGGAAAGAAGACCCUAUCGAGCUUGACUCUAGGUGUGAUAUUGUGAAAUGAUUUAAAAGGUGUAGAAUAAGGGGGAGAGGCUUGCUUCGAACUUGAAAUACCCCUACUUUUAACAUUGUUUUACUUAAAUAAUGAAUAAAGAAAAAGAUGUGCGUUUGUAUGUUUACAUGCGGCGUCGUCUUUCUUUAAGCAAACACGGCGAGAGUGAUGGUGGCGCAGGUGUGUGAGUGGCAAAGGUGUUGUAAACGAAUUGCAGUUGUUUUUAAUUAAACCUGUAUUCUUUGCGGCAUUCACUUGUACACUCUGCGUUGCCACUCGCCAACUUUUGUUAUUGACAUUAUCAGCUGGGGAGUUUGGCUGGGGCGGCACAUCCGUUAAACAAUAACGCGGGUGUUCUAAGACAAGCUCAGAUAGAACAGAAAUCUAUCGUAGACGAUAAAACGAAAAGCUUGUUUGAUUUUGAUUUUCAGUACUAAUACAAACCGUGAAAGCGUGAUUUUGCGAUCCUUUAUAUUUUCGCUAUAAAUGAAUAAAUGUUUCUAUAGAGGUGUCAGAAAAGUUACCAUAGGGAUAACUGGCUUGUGGCCGCAGAGAGCUCAGAUCGACGUGGCUUUUUGAUUCUUCGAUGUCGGCUCUUCCUAUCCAUCCGAAGCAGAAUUCGGAUAGGGUGUGAUUGUUCACCACUGAAAAGGGAACGUGAGCUGGGUUUAGACCGUCGUGAGACAGGUUAGUUUUACCCUACUGUCGUGGUUGGAUUAUACCAAAAGUGUAUAUGACAAAUGGCUGCGUAACGGAAAUACGAUUCAGUACGAGAGGAACCAUCGUUUCACGCUUCAGGUAUCGGCAUUCGUUGAACAACGAUUGUGCCAAAGCUUCGCGUGCUGGAGUAUUGUUGGACGCCUCUAAACAAGAAACCACUCCAGAAACACAGCCAACUAAAUGUUGCGCUUAUUCAUCUGAGCGCAAUAGAGACUCUAUUUAUUAUUUAUUAUCAAAUAAAAGAGAAAUAAUAAGCAUCGGCUUCAUUGACCGUGCUUAAUUCCAUUUAAUUUAGUUAAUGAUUAAAUGCGUGUGUGCCAACUCGCCUCGCGCAAUCUAAUUAAAAAUUAAAAAUUUCAUUGAAUAUUUAGAGUUCUCGCAAACUAUCUACUAGUUAAAUCUCCUACAUACGAUUGGAAAUUAGUGUCAAAGGCGUGUGCGUUUUAGAGAACUCUAGUUAGUUCGAUUGAUUGAGCGUGCUUU
RNAcentral lists this ribosomal RNA (2342 nucleotides) under seawater metagenome. Its description in RNAcentral is "eukaryotic LSU rRNA". It matches the Rfam family "Eukaryotic large subunit ribosomal RNA", at positions 1422 to 3385 of the family's 3401-position model. The record is from RNAcentral.